UAGCCGCCGCGGUAAUUCCGGCGGCCCGAGUGGCGGUCACUAUUAUUGGGCUUAAAGCGUCCGUAGCCGGGUUGGGAAGUCCUCCGGGAAAUCUGGCCGCUUAACGGUCAGAAUGCCGGAGGAUACUCCCAGCCUAGGGAGCGGGAGAGGCCGAGGGUAUUCCCGGAGUAGGGGUGAAAUCCUAUAAUCCCGGGAGGACCACCUGUGGCGAAGGCGCUCGGCUGGAACGCGUCCGACGGUGAGGGACGAAGGCCAGGGGAGCAAACCGGAUUAGAUACCCGGGUAGUCCUGGCGGUAAACGAUGCGGACUUUGUGUCGGACAAGCUAUGAGCUUGUCCGGUGCCGGAGGGAAACCGUUAAGUCCGCCGCCUGGGGAGUACGGCCGCAAGGCUGAAACUUAAAGGAAUUGGCGGG
RNAcentral lists this ribosomal RNA (414 nucleotides) under uncultured microorganism. RNAcentral's name for it is "bacterial SSU rRNA". It matches the Rfam family "Archaeal small subunit ribosomal RNA", at positions 459 to 872 of the family's 1478-position model. The record is from RNAcentral.